Molecule: ribosomal RNA, 406 nt
Filed under: uncultured bacterium
Lineage: Bacteria
Description: partial 16S ribosomal RNA
Rfam family: Bacterial small subunit ribosomal RNA
Source: RNAcentral
GACGAACGCUGGCGGCGCGCUUAACACAUGCAAGUCGAGCGAAGCGGCGGACGGGUGAGUCACACGUGAGUAACCUGCCUUAGACAUUGGGAUAGCCUCGGGAAACCGGGAUUAAUACCAAAUGGUCUAAGAUGGACUCGGGUCCCAUUAGCUAGUUGGUGGGUAACGGCCCACCAAGGCGACGAGGAGUAGCCGGCCUAUGUGGGUGAGCGGCAACAUUGUAACUGAGAAACAGUCCAAACUCUACGGGAGGCAGCAGUGGGGAAUAUGGCACAAUGGAGGUAACUCUGAUGCAGCGACGCCGCGUGAACGAAGAAGGCUUUCGAGUCGUAAAGUUCUUUUAUAUGGGAAGCGGUACCAUAAGAAAAAGCCCCGGCUAACUACGUGCCAGCAGCCGCGGUAAUAC